RNAcentral lists this small nucleolar RNA (131 nucleotides) under Dasypus novemcinctus (nine-banded armadillo). RNAcentral's name for it is "Small nucleolar RNA SNORA31 (ENSDNOG00000049060.1)". Lineage: Eukaryota; Metazoa; Chordata; Mammalia; Cingulata; Dasypodidae. The record is from RNAcentral.
AGGCAUCCCCAACAGACCUGGAGCAGUUAAUGUCUGCUGCUAAGAUUUCCACUACAGAUGCAAGAAAAAGAAAGUCCAAGUGCUUUCUGUCUGUCUAGUUGUGGCAGCCAAGAUUGAAUGGGGAAAUAUAG